RNAcentral lists this ribosomal RNA (33 nucleotides) under Symbiodinium sp. Ha5. Its description in RNAcentral is "partial 24S ribosomal RNA". The record is from RNAcentral. Lineage: Eukaryota; Dinophyceae; Suessiales; Symbiodiniaceae.
UCUAGCAUGAAGUCAGACAAGUGAACCCGCUGA